GACGAACGCUGGCGGCGUGCUUAACACAUGCAAGUCGAACGGAAAGGCCCUGCUGUUGUGGGGUGCUCGAGUGGCGAACGGGUGAGUAACACGUGAGUAACCUGCCCUUGACUUUGGGAUAACUUCAGGAAACUGGGGCUCAUACCGGAUAGGAGCCCCUGCUGCAUUGUGGGGGAUGGAAAGUUUCGGCGGUUGGGGAUGGACUCGCGGCGUACUAGCUUGUUGGUGGGGUAGUUGAUUACCAAGGCAUUGACGGGUAGCCGGCCUGAGAGGGUGAACGGCCACAUAGGGACUGAGAUACGGCCCAGACACCUACGGGAGGCAGGAGUCGGGAAGGUAGCACAAUGAGCGGAAGCCUGAUGGAGGAACGCCGCGUGCGUGAUGACGGCCUUCGGGUGGUAAGCCGCUUUCGCCUGUGACGAAGCGUGCGUGACGGUAAUGGGUAAAGAAGCACCGGCUAACUACGUG
Molecule: ribosomal RNA, 468 nt
Filed under: uncultured bacterium
Lineage: Bacteria
Description: partial 16S ribosomal RNA
Rfam family: Bacterial small subunit ribosomal RNA
Source: RNAcentral